UACGUAGGGGGCUAGCGUUGUCCGGAAUUAUUGGGCGUAAAGAGCGUGUAGGCGGUUCGAUAAGUCUGCUGUAAAAGUCGGGGGCUCAACCCUCGAAGGCCGGUGGAUACUGUCGAGCUAGAGUACGGAAGAGGCGAGUGGAAUUCCUGGUGUAGCGGUGAAAUGCGCAGAUAUCAGGAGGAACACCAAUUGCGAAGGCAGCUCGCUGGGACGUAACUGACGCUGAGACGCGAAAGCGUGGGGAGCAAACAGG
This 253-nucleotide ribosomal RNA is filed under the name uncultured bacterium. RNAcentral's name for it is "partial 16S ribosomal RNA". It matches the Rfam family "Bacterial small subunit ribosomal RNA", at positions 524 to 776 of the family's 1533-position model. The record is from RNAcentral.